GCAAGCCGAGCGGUAUUUGUCUUUCGGGACAGAGAGAGCGGCGUACGGGUGCGGAACACGUGUGCAACCUGCCUUUAUCUGGGGGAUAGCCUUUCGAAAGGAAGAUUAAUACCCCAUAAUAUAAUUGAUGGCAUCAUUGAUUAUUGAAAACUCCGGUGGAUAGAGAUGGGCACGCGCAAGAUUAGAUAGUUGGUGAGGUAACGGCUCACCAAGUCGAUGAUCUUUAGGGGGCCUGAGAGGGUGAUCCCCCACACUGGUACUGAGACACGGACCAGACUCCUACGGGAGGCAGCAGUGAGGAAUAUUGGACAAUGGGUUAGCGCCUGAUCCAGCCAUCCCGCGUGAAGGACGACUGCCCUAUGGGUUGUAAACUUCUUUUGUACAGGGAUAAACCUACCCUCGUGAGGGUAGCUGAAGGUACUGUACGAAUAAGCACCGGCUAACUCCGUGCCAGCAGCCGCGGUAAUACGGAGG
Molecule: ribosomal RNA, 474 nt
Filed under: Chryseobacterium sp.
Lineage: Bacteria; Pseudomonadati; Bacteroidota; Flavobacteriia; Flavobacteriales; Weeksellaceae
Description: bacterial SSU rRNA
Rfam family: Bacterial small subunit ribosomal RNA
Source: RNAcentral